RNAcentral lists this ribosomal RNA (505 nucleotides) under uncultured bacterium. Its description in RNAcentral is "bacterial SSU rRNA". It matches the Rfam family "Bacterial small subunit ribosomal RNA", at positions 28 to 524 of the family's 1533-position model. The record is from RNAcentral.
GAUGAACGCUAGCGACAGGCUUAACACAUGCAAGUCGAGGGGCAGCACGGGAGUAGCAAUACAACUGGUGGCGACCGGCGCACGGGUGAGUAACGCGUAUGCAACCUACCUAUCAGAGGGGAAUAACCCGGCGAAAGUCGGACUAAUACCGCAUAAAACAGGGGCACCGCAUGGUGAUAUUUGUUAAAGAAAUUCGCUGAUAGAUGGGCAUGCGUUCCAUUAGGUAGUUGGUGAGGUAACGGCUCACCAAGCCGACGAUGGAUAGGGGAACUGAGAGGUUGGUCCCCCACACUGGUACUGAGACACGGACCAGACUCCUACGGGAGGCAGCAGUGAGGAAUAUUGGUCAAUGGGCGGGAGCCUGAACCAGCCAAGUCGCGUGAAGGAAGAAGGAUCUAUGGUUCGUAAACUUCUUUUGCAGGGGAAUAAAGUGCAGGACGUGUCCUGUUUUGUAUGUACCCUGAGAAUAAGGAUCGGCUAACUCCGUGCCAGCAGCCGCGGUAAA